RNAcentral lists this ribosomal RNA (465 nucleotides) under Vreelandella stevensii. RNAcentral describes it as "partial 16S ribosomal RNA". It matches the Rfam family "Bacterial small subunit ribosomal RNA", at positions 338 to 795 of the family's 1533-position model. Lineage: Bacteria; Pseudomonadati; Pseudomonadota; Gammaproteobacteria; Oceanospirillales; Halomonadaceae. The record is from RNAcentral.
CCUACGGGGGGCAGCAGUGGGGAAUAUUGGACAAUGGGGGGAACCCUGAUCCAGCCAUGCCGCGUGUGUGAAGAAGGCCCUCGGGUUGUAAAGCACUUUCAGUGAGGAAGAACGCCUGGUGGUUAAUACCCAUCAGGAAAGACAUCACUCACAGAAGAAGCACCGGCUAACUCCGUGCCAGCAGCCGCGGUAAUACGGAGGGUGCGAGCGUUAAUCGGAAUUACUGGGCGUAAAGCGCGCGUAGGUGGCUUGAUAAGCCGGUUGUGAAAGCCCCGGGCUCAACCUGGGAACGGCAUCCGGAACUGUCAAGCUAGAGUGCAGGAGAGGAAGGUAGAAUUCCCGGUGUAGCGGUGAAAUGCGUAGAAAUCGGGAGGAAUACCAGUGGCGAAGGCGGCCUUCUGGACUGACACUGACACUGAGGUGCGAAAGCGUGGGUAGCAAACAGGAUUAGAUACCCUAGUAGUC